RNAcentral lists this non-coding RNA (198 nucleotides) under Bacillota bacterium. Its description in RNAcentral is "Firmicutes bacterium T-box sequence". It matches the Rfam family "T-box leader". Rfam says of the family: Uncharged tRNA acts as the effector for transcription antitermination of genes in the T-box leader family. T-boxes are found upstream of many aminoacyl-tRNA synthetase genes and some amino acid biosynthetic genes usually in Gram-positive bacteria. Lineage: Bacteria; Bacillati; Bacillota. The record is from RNAcentral.
AUUAAUCCUGUGAAAAAGAAGAAGUGAGUUAUUCUAUUUUAGAGAGAAACUGUUGGGUGGAAAGUUUUAUAGAAUACUGACUAGUGACACUUUGGAGGAAUCAAGUGAUGAAGCUUGAUCGUUGGUCUCGUUACGACUUGAGUGUUCAAGAAUGAUUCUUGAAAAGUAAGGUGGUACCGCGUUUAUGACGUCCUUAUA